Molecule: ribosomal RNA, 650 nt
Filed under: Rhodococcus sp. SCAU5045
Lineage: Bacteria; Bacillati; Actinomycetota; Actinomycetes; Mycobacteriales; Nocardiaceae
Description: bacterial SSU rRNA
Rfam family: Bacterial small subunit ribosomal RNA
Source: RNAcentral
CUUGCUGGGCGGAUUAGUGGCGAACGGGUGAGUAACACGUGGGUGAUCUGCCCUGCACUUCGGGAUAAGCCUGGGAAACUGGGUCUAAUACCGGAUAUGACCAUGGGAUGCAUGUCCUGUGGUGGAAAGGUUUACUGGUGCAGGAUGAGCCCGCGGCCUAUCAGCUUGUUGGUGGGGUAAUGGCCUACCAAGGCGACGACGGGUAGCCGGCCUGAGAGGGCGACCGGCCACACUGGGACUGAGACACGGCCCAGACUCCUACGGGAGGCAGCAGUGGGGAAUAUUGCACAAUGGGCGAAAGCCUGAUGCAGCGACGCCGCGUGAGGGAUGACGGCCUUCGGGUUGUAAACCUCUUUCAGCAGGGACGAAGCGCAAGUGACUGUACCUGCAGAAGAAGCACCGGCUAACUACGUGCCAGCAGCCGCGGUAAUACGUAGGGUGCGAGCGUUGUCCGGAAUUACUGGGCGUAAAGAGUUCGUAGGCGGUUUGUCGCGUCGUGUGUGAAAUCCCGCAGCUCAACUGCGGGCUUGCAGGCGAUACGGGCAGACUUGAGUACUGCAGGGGAGACUGGAAUUCCUGGUGUAGCGGUGAAAUGCGCAGAUAUCAGGAGGAACACCGGUGGCGAAGGCGGGUCUCUGGGCAGUAACUGA